Molecule: ribosomal RNA, 409 nt
Filed under: uncultured bacterium
Lineage: Bacteria
Description: bacterial SSU rRNA
Rfam family: Bacterial small subunit ribosomal RNA
Source: RNAcentral
ACCUGCCGUUGAGAUGGGGACAACAUCCCGAAAGGGGUGCUAAUACCGAAUGUUGUGGAAGUCUCGCAUGGGACAUCCACUAAAGAUGACCUCUAUUUAUAAGUUAUCGCUCAACGAUGGGCCUGCGUCUGAUUAGCUAGUUGUGGGGCAACGGGCCUACCAAGGCGACGAUCAGUAGCCGGUCUGAGAGGAUGAACGGCCACAUUGGAACUGAGACACGGUCCAGACUCCUACGGGAGGCAGCAGUGGGGAAUCUUCCGCAAUGGGCGAAAGCCUGACGGAGCAACGCCGCGUGAGUGAAGAAGGCCUUCGGGUCGUAAAGCUCUGUUGAAGGGGACGAAUGUCAGGACUAUCAACAACGGUUUUGAAUGACGGUACCUUUCGAGGAAGCCACGGCUAACUACGUGCC